AUUUGACCUCAAAUCAGGUAGGAACACCCGCUGAACUUAAGCAUAUCAAUAAGCGGAGGAAAAGAAAAUAACAAUGAUUCCCCUAGUAACUGCGAGUGAAGAGGGACAAGCUCAAAUUUUAAAUCCAUCGGGUUUUACCCGAUCGAGUUGUAAUUUGAAGAGGCGUUUUCUGUGUUUCUGAUCAGUCCAAGUCCUUUGGGAUAAGGCAUCAUGGAGGGUGAGAAUCCCGUCCGGUUGAUCAGAUUCGCUUUACGAUACGCUUUCUAAGAGUCAAGUUGUUUGGGAUUGCAGCUUAAAAUGGGAGGUAAAUUUCUCCUAAGGCUAAAUAACGGCGAGAGACCGAUAGCGAACAAGUACCGUGAGGGAAAGAUGAAAAGAACUUUGAAAAGAGAGUUAAACAGUACGUGAAAUUGUUGAAAGGGAAACGAUUGAAGCCAGUCGUACCUUCGGGUAAUCAGCCUUUCGGGUGCGAUUAUGUGGAGUGUGAGGAGCUUAAACACCUUCAUGUUUUGUAUAUUCGUACUCUUGGGUGUACUUGCCCGUGUGGUUGGUUAACAUCAAUUUUGGUGGUCAUAAAAUGACUGGAGGAAUGUAGCUUCGAUCUCGUAUUGAAGUGUUAUAGCCUUCGGUAGAUGUGAUGAUCGAGAUUGAGGAUUGCAACGGAUACCCUUCGGGGCUACCUGUCUGAUCUCUGAUCGUUGCUCUGGUGCCGAAAGCUUGCUUACGGUUAUCAAAGUCGAUGGUCAAUAGGUUAGAACGGGUUAAAUUCGUUAAGGAUGUUGACGUAAUGGCUUUAAACGACCCGUCUUGAAACACGGACCA
This 822-nucleotide ribosomal RNA is filed under the name Glomus sp. Att690-9. Its description in RNAcentral is "eukaryotic LSU rRNA". It matches the Rfam family "Eukaryotic large subunit ribosomal RNA", at positions 1 to 668 of the family's 3401-position model. The record is from RNAcentral. Lineage: Eukaryota; Fungi; Glomeromycota; Glomeromycetes; Glomerales; Glomeraceae.